GCAAAGGUAGCUUAACGGAUUAAAGCACAGCACUGAAAAUGCUUCAAAGGGAGUUAAAGUCCCUCCCUUAGCA
Molecule: non-coding RNA, 73 nt
Organism: Strongylocentrotus purpuratus (purple sea urchin)
Lineage: Eukaryota; Metazoa; Echinodermata; Echinoidea; Camarodonta; Strongylocentrotidae
Source: the annotation of a RefSeq genome assembly